AAACCAACAGGGAUUGCCUCAGUAACGGCGAGUGAAGCGGCACAGCUCAAAUUUGAAAUCUGGCCCUAGGCCCGAGUUGUAAUUUGCAGAGGAUGCUUUUGGUGCGGUGCCUUCCAAGUUCCCUAGAACGGGACGCCAGAGAGGGUGAGAGCCCCGUACAGUUGGACACCAAGCCUUUGUAAAGCUCCUUCGACGAGUCGAGUAGUUUGGGAAUGCUGCUCAAAAUGGGAGGUAUAUUUCUUCUAAAGCUAAAUACCGGCCAGAGACCGAUAGCGCACAAGUAGAGUGAUCGAAAGAUGAAAAGCACUUUGAAAAGAGGGUUAAACAGCACGUGAAAUUGUUAAAAGGGAAGCGCUUGUGACCAGACUUGCGUCCGGUGAAUCACCCAGCUCUCGCGGCUGGGGCACUUCGCCGGCUCAGGCCAGCAUCAGCUCGCUGUCGGGGACAAAAGCUUCGGGAACGUAGCUCUCUUCGGGGAGUGUUAUAGCCUGUUGCACAAUACCCUUCGGCGGGCUGAGGUACGCGCUCCGCAAGGAUGCUGGCAUAAUGGUCAUCAGCGAC
Molecule: ribosomal RNA, 561 nt
Filed under: uncultured fungus
Lineage: Eukaryota; Fungi
Description: eukaryotic LSU rRNA
Rfam family: Eukaryotic large subunit ribosomal RNA
Source: RNAcentral